RNAcentral lists this ribosomal RNA (253 nucleotides) under uncultured bacterium. Its description in RNAcentral is "partial 16S ribosomal RNA". It matches the Rfam family "Bacterial small subunit ribosomal RNA", at positions 524 to 776 of the family's 1533-position model. The record is from RNAcentral.
UACGUAGGGUGCAAGCGUUGUCCGGAAUUAUUGGGCGUAAAGAGCUCGUAGGCGGUUUGUCGCGUCUGCUGUGAAAAUCCAGGGCUUAACCCUGGACCUGCAGUGGGUACGGGCAGACUAGAGUGCGGUAGGGGAGAUCGGAAUUCCUGGUGUAGCGGUGAAAUGCGCAGAUAUCGGGAAGAACACCCGUGGCGAAGGCGGCUCUCUGGAACGCAACUGACGCUGAGACGCGAAAGCGUGGGGAGCAAACAGG